This 144-nucleotide small RNA is filed under the name Salegentibacter holothuriorum. Its description in RNAcentral is "Flavo-1 RNA". It matches the Rfam family "Flavo-1 RNA". The record is from RNAcentral. Lineage: Bacteria; Pseudomonadati; Bacteroidota; Flavobacteriia; Flavobacteriales; Flavobacteriaceae.
UUUUUGCGUUAGGGAUUGCAGUGGAAAUCCUUUUUGCGAGGAACCAGGAUCUUAAUCUGAGUUGAGCUCAAUUUAAAAACAAAGCCCGAAAUAUUAAAUCUCGAUUAUCUAGCAAAAAGAUUGCAACGUAAAGCCCGACCCGUU